CAAUCAUCCUGGAUGUCCAAAUUCCCGUAGCUCAGCCAGAACCAAACUCAGGAGGUAACUCUAACCCUCUACCCGCUAAAAGUACUAAUAUCAUUAAUCCGGUACAUCUCAUUCCUCAAAACCUUAAAUGCGACAUAUUAGAAGGCAAUGAUAUGAAUCUGGCUUCUCUCCUCAUAGCAUCACAAGAUCUAAUUGAAAACAGGUCAUACAUAUUUGACGAUUUAUUCAUGGUAAUGCAGUCUAGAGACCAUAGACUUAACAGGAAGUUAAAUAUUCCAGAGUUUGUCUUAGCUUUUGGCUUAUAUAGGGAUAUUUGCUCUGCUUUUCCCCACCGUACAGAGGAAUUAGAUUUAUACUUACA
Molecule: non-coding RNA, 361 nt
Organism: Pelobates cultripes (western spadefoot toad)
Lineage: Eukaryota; Metazoa; Chordata; Amphibia; Anura; Pelobatidae
Source: the annotation of a GenBank genome assembly